RNAcentral lists this ribosomal RNA (253 nucleotides) under uncultured bacterium. Its description in RNAcentral is "partial 16S ribosomal RNA". It matches the Rfam family "Bacterial small subunit ribosomal RNA", at positions 524 to 776 of the family's 1533-position model. The record is from RNAcentral.
UACGGAGGGUGCAAGCGUUAUCCGGAUUCACUGGGCGUAAAGGGUGCGCAGGCGGUCGGGUGUGUCAGAUGUGAAAUCCCGAGGCUCAACCUCGGGUCUGCAGUCGAUACGAGCAAACUAGAGUGUUGCAGGGGAGACUGGAAUUCCUGGUGUAGCGGUGAAAUGCGCAGAUAUCAGGAGGAACACCGGUGGCGAAGGCGGGUCUCUGGGCAACAACUGACGCUGAGGAGCGAAAGCGUGGGGAGCGAACAGG